This is a long non-coding RNA of Bombus terrestris (buff-tailed bumblebee), 2952 nucleotides long. RefSeq lists it as uncharacterized. NCBI's taxonomy places the organism in Eukaryota, Metazoa, Arthropoda, Insecta, Hymenoptera, Apidae. The record is from RefSeq and is a predicted model, not a curated record. The transcript is spliced from 2 exons.
GGUCACGGAAGAACUUGCACGUGCCGCGAUGUCAGGAGGUGACACGUGCGUUGAAUUAGUGUUCCACGUGUCUCGACAGUUUCAUAUGCGAGCCGCGCGUCCACGUUUCCUUCGACUAUAUACGUGUUAGCAGUUUUCGCGAGAGGAUAGUACCGUAACCAGGAUACGUGUUCUUGCGGAUGAGAAACGGCAGAAAAAGAAAAAUCUACGAAUGCUCUUAACUCGUAGUCGAUUCGAACGCUAAGAUGAAAGAACCGAAGGAACGCGUCGAACCUACGCACCGUAAACACGAGAAAUGGGUCUACGGGAUGAGUCAUCGUCGUCGUCGCGACCAGCCAGCCAUCCAAAGAAACGAUCUUUCCUCUUCGUCCCGGUGGACAAGACGUGGCCGAGACAGGGGCUCGAUGCUCACGGGAGAUCGAAUUCUAGUCGCAUCUGCGGAUUAUUACGAGUCUCCCGCUUGCGUUUCAGCUGCAAAAAAAGAGACGAGAGGCACCGUCGGCGGACAGCUCUUCCGUCCAUUAUCGACGAUCCGGCGUGCAUAUACGGCGCGAAACACGUCCUAAAACCGGUUCUCCCGAUCGGUUCUGCGAACCGCAUGCGCCAUCGGAUCCGGGUACCCACACGACUCCAUCUCCGCCUUCUUCUUCGUCUUCCCGACUCGACGUGCACGCUUCUCUCUUCCUUCUCCACAGUCUGUUUCCUCCGUGCGAACUUCACCGACACCGGGCCAGCCGAGCUUCUUUCCUGCCGCCGCCGGUUGCAGUUGCAAGCAGCGACUUCCGCGACCCGCGAACGAGAUGUGCGGAUGUGGGCCGGACCGGACUCGCGCCUUACCUACGCCAUAUUUUAGGCGUUAGGCGCGUCGUAGGCAGGGCCACGAACAUACAUCAUCGCGUUAUCGCCUCUCUGUCCAACUCCUGCCGAUAGUCUCUCGAGGAAACUUCCGAAUAUCCGCGUGGUACAAGACCGAAGGUGGUAUUUUCGCGCUGGAUUAUUUGGAAUUUCGCACGUAAAAUUUAACGAUUUAGAAGAUAUAAAGGGAUAAAGGUGUAGACUUGCAGAGUUAGGUUUAAGAUUAUAGUUUUAGAAAACUAGGUUGGAAUGGAAUAAUCGUUCUGUAUUUUACGAUAUUAAGAAUGCGUAAUAUUAGUCUGAAUCGUUAAACCGUUGGAAACAUUGUAUGUUUUUCCAGAGUUAAAAGUACAUGAGGUUAUAUAAAAAUCUUCUAUUAAGCCGCAAUCUAUCAGUCUAAUAGCAAAUGGCCAGAGUAGAACUUUGUGCGUGUUAAAUGUUUUUCUUCUGUCUAAAUUAUCGAAAUUUACAUUUCAGCUUUAGUUUCCGAGGCUAAUUAUAAGCUGGAAGAAUUCAACAAGUUUUACUUGACCAAUUAACGCAAAUUCGAAAGAACAAUCGAUUUUCUUAACAAUCAUUGCUAAUUCGAUAUACUUUUUCACUAUCUUUUCAACCCUAACUUUUCUUAAAAGUAUUCUCAUGCCGUUUCUCUUUAAAUCACCCUCGUUUAAACAGGAUUUCGAACUUUCGAAAUUCAGCGCUGCCAGAGAAAGAUUACUCGUUAAAACGAGCUAUUAUUUCGUCAAACAUGCCUGUGUUCCUUUAAAAAUUUCAAUCAUAAAACAACCCUAAGCCGAAUAAACCUGCCCAUUUUAUUAUUUAUUAGCAUCUUUCUUGUAACGUCUGUUUUCCUCAAGAAGGGAGUUCACGGGGCUCAUGAGAGGGAAUUAAGGAAAUUUCGCCGCCGUCGAAACGAUUUCGCGGAAACUUAGUGAGGAUCGUGCGCGAAAGGAAGCGGAAGUUUCUACGGUGUACAGGCUGGCACACGGUUACCACGAAACGCCAUCCAUCACGAGACUGAUCGUCGGCAUGUAUCACGUAUUUUUCGAGGCUCUGUAAGUUGGAAACGUGCGCGGUGCGGCACUCGACACCCGGUUUUAUCGUAAGCAUUAGUUUCGUUCGCCUCUGCCCGUACGUGACAUUACCCGACACGGAUCAGUCAACUCUAUCUCGUUCCAAACCCUCCAUAACUCGAAUUUCGAGAAAAGAGUCGUAAUGGAUUACGACUCUUUUAUUUUGAUCUGAAAUCUAGAAACUGAUGAAGUCAUUUUAAAAUUGUGUUCUAGGAUUAAUUAUUGUCGAAAACGUACUGUUGAACAUUUUGAAAAUAUAAAUUGUCACGAUAUUAUUACAAAACUUCGUGGAUUACUAAUACACAUAGAGUGCAUUAUAUUUAAAAAAUAGCGUUCGUUUGAUCCUUACAAAAUUCUUCAUACUGAAUUUCGUAAGUAAAAAGAACACUGCGCCAGUUACGAAUUAAAAUUCAUAAAACUUCCGACAAAAUUAUACGAUGAAAUUAUACGUAUACAUGUGUAUAUGUAUUUGUAACGAAACACAAAACUACCAUUGGUUUUAAUUAUAAACGUAUAAGCGUAUAUGUAACGUAACUCCUUAAAAUGAGUCGGGGUCGUUUAAAAAUACGAAAAACAAUUUGCACAGACUAGAGACACGUCUCUCAUAACAGCCUCGUAAAUGGAACGGUAGAAAACAUCAGAUCCACAAGAGCUAACGCGAAGAACGUGGCAUAAAAGCUCGCUGAAACGACAACAGUUAAAGGGAAGUUUAGCGUCGCGAGGCUGAGCCAAGGCGACCACCGAAAUAAACUACGGAGCGACAGUUCCCAAGCUUUUUAAGGAGAAUUCGAAAAGAACGAGAGACGGUCUUGAGUUGUAAAACUUUCCCUAGCAUCGCGUGUUGUUGUCCAUUCCGCGUCUAUGAUGUAAUAGUCAUAAUCAAAACAGGAUUUACUGUCUGCGCAGAAAGAAACGUUUCGCGCCAGACUAACGUUCUUUUCCUAGCGCGCGCGAAAAAAGUUACGAGCUUCACACAGUCGAAACAAUGUUACCAGUUAUCUACGAAUACACAAAGUUUAUAAAA